Molecule: unclassified non-coding RNA, 312 nt
Filed under: Hevea brasiliensis (rubber tree)
Lineage: Eukaryota; Viridiplantae; Streptophyta; Magnoliopsida; Malpighiales; Euphorbiaceae
Source: RNAcentral
UUAUCUGCCGAAGGUCAACGAGAUGACCGAUUUCAACAUGUGGACCUGGAACAGCCGCGUGUUUCCUGGGAUCGAUCCGUUGCCGGUCCGUCUCGGCGACAAGGUUCGUGUCCGCAUCGGCAAUCUCACCAUGACCAACCAUCCCAUCCAUCUCCACGGACACCACUUUGCCGUCAGCUGCACCGACGGCGGCUGGGUUCCUGAAAGCGCGCAAUGGCCGGAGACGACGACCGACGUACCGGUCGGCGCGGUUCGUGCGUUCGACGUAGUCGCCGACAAUCCUGGCGACUGGGCGUUUCACUGCCACAAGUC